AACGUAGGAGGCGAACGUUAUCCGGAUUUACUGGGUGUAAAGCGCGUGCAGGCGGUGGUGUAAGUCGUGUGUGAAAGCGCCCAGGCUCAACCGGGCGAGGACGGACGAAACUGCAUCACUAGAGGCAGGUAGAGGCGUGCGGAAUUCCGGGUGUAGUGGUGAAAUGCGUAGAUAUCCGGAGGAACACCAGUGGCGAAGGCGGCGCGCUGGACCUGACCUGACGCUAAGAC
RNAcentral lists this ribosomal RNA (230 nucleotides) under uncultured bacterium. RNAcentral describes it as "partial 16S ribosomal RNA". It matches the Rfam family "Bacterial small subunit ribosomal RNA", at positions 524 to 752 of the family's 1533-position model. The record is from RNAcentral.